Carassius gibelio (silver crucian carp) is the source of this 693-nucleotide long non-coding RNA. RefSeq lists it as uncharacterized. Lineage: Eukaryota; Metazoa; Chordata; Actinopteri; Cypriniformes; Cyprinidae. The record is from RefSeq and is a predicted model, not a curated record. The transcript is spliced from 2 exons.
AAGAAAGACAUAAGCAUCUCCAACAAAUCAAAUCCAGCCUUGGUUUGGCUUGGUCCAUUGUCAAACAUUGCUAGAAUCAUUGGAUGUGAAAGUAGUUGUGCCAAACUUCGGACCAAAGGAAUAUAGUAAAAGCAUAUUUUUCUUAUUCUUACAGCUUGUGAGGCUCCUCUACUCCUAAAGGAUGCAGUCUGGGAAAUUUCAAUUUCUUGGGCUUCAACUACUUUGAACUGAUUUUUAGAUUUGAAUCUUGCAUAUAUGUGGUGGAAACUGUGUCAAAAGGGUAUUCAAAAUUAUUAAAAAUGUCCAGAACGUCACUCAUCAGUUGAUCGCUCACCCCUGAUUGUCUGUGAAUAAUAUCUAGGGAAGUCGUGGCCUAAUGGUUAGAGGGUUGGACUCCCAAUCGAAGGGUUGUGGGUUCUAGUCUUGGGCCGGACGGAAUUGUGGGUGGGGGGAGUGCAUGUACAGUUCUCUCUCCACCUUCAAUACCACGACUUAGGUGCCCUUGAGCAAGGCAUCGAACCCCCAACUGCUCCCCGGGCGCUGCAGCAUAAAUGGCUGCCCACUGCUCCGGGUGUGUGCUCACAGUGUGUGUGUGUGUUCACUGCUCUGUGUGUGUGCAUUUCGGAUGGGUUAAAUGCAGAGCACAAAUUCUGAGUAUGGGUCACCAUACUUGGCUGAAUGUCACUUCACUUU